AGUGAACGCUGGCGGUAGGCCUAACACAUGCAAGUCGAACGGCAGCACAGUAAGAGCUUGCUCUUACGGGUGGCGAGUGGCGGACGGGUGAGGAAUACAUCGGAAUCUACUUUUUCGUGGGGGAUAACGUAGGGAAACUUACGCUAAUACCGCAUACGACCUACGGGUGAAAGCAGGGGAUCUUCGGACCUUGCGCGAUUGAAUGAGCCGAUGUCGGAUUAGCUAGUUGGCGGGGUAAAGGCCCACCAAGGCGACGAUCCGUAGCUGGUCUGAGAGGAUGAUCAGCCACACUGGAACUGAGACACGGUCCAGACUCCUACGGGAGGCAGCAGUGGGGAAUAUUGGACAAUGGGCGCAAGCCUGAUCCAGCCAUACCGCGUGGGCGAAGAAGGCCUUCGGGUUGUAAAGCCCUUUUGUUGGGAAAGAAAAGCAGCAGGUUAAUACCCCGCUGUUCUGACGGUACCCAAAGAAUAAGCGCCGGCUAACUUCGUG
This 492-nucleotide ribosomal RNA is filed under the name uncultured bacterium. Its description in RNAcentral is "partial 16S ribosomal RNA". It matches the Rfam family "Bacterial small subunit ribosomal RNA", at positions 29 to 507 of the family's 1533-position model. The record is from RNAcentral.